Molecule: signal recognition particle RNA, 96 nt
Filed under: Bacilli bacterium
Lineage: Bacteria; Bacillati; Bacillota; Bacilli
Description: signal recognition particle sRNA small type
Rfam family: Bacterial small signal recognition particle RNA
About the family: The signal recognition particle (SRP) is a universally conserved ribonucleoprotein involved in the co-translational targeting of proteins to membranes. Archaeal SRP consists of a 7S RNA and homologues of the eukaryotic SRP19 and SRP54 proteins.
Source: RNAcentral
UUAAAAAGCCGUUGCGAGUUACUGCUUCGAACCUGGUCAGGAUGGAAACAUAGCAGCCAUAAGAUGAUUUGUAAUUGUGCGACGGUUUUUAUUUUG